Molecule: long non-coding RNA, 497 nt
Organism: Saccostrea cuccullata (small rock oyster)
Lineage: Eukaryota; Metazoa; Mollusca; Bivalvia; Ostreida; Ostreidae
Exons: 5
Source: RefSeq, a predicted model, not a curated record
AUAUGGAGUAUGUGUCUGUAAACCUGAAUAUAAAGGAUUUGGAACUGAAUGUUUAAAAGAAAAUUUGAAACUGGGAUACCAAUGCAAGCGAAAUGAGCAGCGUUCCGUGACAUCUGGUUCCGUUUGUAAGAAUGAUACUUGUGUCUGUGGGCCAGGAUAUGGCCAACUGAGUGAUUCGGAGUGUUUUCCAUAUCUCUCAGAAGACUUGUGUACAACAACGAAGGAAUGUACUGAUGUAUCUAAGACCUGUUUCCGAUCUGGGGCACAAGAAUAUGGUAUUUGUAUAUGUAAACCUGAAUAUAUAGGAUUUGGAACCGAUUGUUUAAAAGGAAAUUUGAAACUGGGAUACCAAUGCAAGCGAAAUGAGCAGUGUUUUGUGACAUCUGGUUCCGUUUGUAAGAACGGUACUUGUGUCUGUGGGCCAGGAUAUGUCCAACUGAGUGAUUCGGAGUGUUUUCCACUACAUCUCACAAAAGAUUUGUGCAUAUCGACCAAGG